Molecule: ribosomal RNA, 688 nt
Filed under: bacterium enrichment culture clone ADE_80
Lineage: Bacteria
Description: bacterial SSU rRNA
Rfam family: Bacterial small subunit ribosomal RNA
Source: RNAcentral
UAGAGUUUGAUCCUGGCUCAGAUUGAACGCUGGCGGCAUGCCUUACACAUGCAAGUCGAACGGCAGCACGGGCUUCGGCCUGGUGGCGAGUGGCGAACGGGUGAGUAAUACAUCGGAACGUGCCCUGUAGUGGGGGAUAACUAGUCGAAAGAUUAGCUAAUACCGCAUACGACCUGAGGGUGAAAGCGGGGGACCGCAAGGCCUCGCGCUACAGGAGCGGCCGAUGUCUGAUUAGCUAGUUGGUGGGGUAAAAGCCUACCAAGGCGACGAUCAGUAGCUGGUCUGAGAGGACGAUCAGCCACACUGGGACUGAGACACGGCCCAGACUCCUACGGGAGGCAGCAGUGGGGAAUUUUGGACAAUGGGGGCAACCCUGAUCCAGCAAUGCCGCGUGUGUGAAGAAGGCCUUCGGGUUGUAAAGCACUUUUGUCCGGAAAGAAAUGGCUCUGGUUAAUACCCGGGGUCGAUGACGGUACCGGAAGAAUAAGCACCGGCUAACUACGUGCCAGCAGCCGCGGUAAUACGUAGGGUGCGAGCGUUAAUCGGAAUUACUGGGCGUAAAGCGUGCGCAGGCGGUUUUGUAAGACAGGCGUGAAAUCCCCGAGCUCAACUUGGGAAUGGCGCUUGUGACUGCAAGGCUAGAGUAUGUCAGAGGGGGGUAGAAUUCCACGUGUAGCAGUGAAAUGCG